GGAUCACCCCUGUUUCACAUUAUGAUUGCCCCUUCAGUUAUACUGUUGAAAAAUUUGAAUCUCAGACAUUAAUGGGUCAAGUGGUUAUAGUUGGAAAUAGUGCAAACCUGGAUUUAUUUUAAGCAAUUUUGGACAUAUCUUGUUUUAAAUGUUAGGGAGCAUAUUUUGGAAUUUUCAAAGAAAACAUUUAUCUAAGUGUGACAAGAUUCAGGAAAUGUUUGGUUGUUGUAAUUGAACCUAAAGAUCAAUGACCUGGGACAGGAAGAUAAACAAAAGAAACAUGAUAGUAAAAAGGUUCAGAGUCAGCUUGUAAGCAAGUUUGCAGGACUGUUCCAAACUACAAGAAGAUGGCAAUCCAGCUUUGCUGUGUUUUAUCAUAGUAUAAAGCAGAGGAAUAUACUGGAAUGUCAUUGGCAUUGGCACCUUCAAAGUCAAGUGAUUAAGGAAGCCAACUGUAGACCAGGAAAGGCUUCAAGGAAUAUACUACAGAAUUGUAUCCUGGAGCAUUUUCCACAUGUGACCCCUGUGAUGGUGAGGGAAAAUUUACUAAGGGACACUUUAAAAUCAUGAAGAGUGAACAGGAAUUCAAAAGAUAGAUAUUUGAAUACAUUAAAAUAUAGCCGGAUACCAAAAAAUUAUAACUGAACAUUGAUUGUAAUAUUUACCAUUAAAGACUAUAUAUAACUAACUUAACUUUUCAUUUGUAGUGCAUUACUGUUUACUUCACACUGACAUUAAAUGUUUCAGUGAGUCAUGUGAUCAUUUUUUGCUCUGUAUUAUUAAAAAAAAGAUGUUUCUUAAUUCCUUAAAAGGACAAUAUAAUUGCUCUUUUCAGAAUAUUUCAUUGGAUGUUAUAUUUUCUGAUUUUCCAUGGAUAUUCUAGAAAUUUCCAAGGUUUUUGCUCAAAUAAACCUUGGAAAAUUCUCUGAUGCCCUUAAGUAAGAAUCCUCGAAAAAUAUAACAGUAUUCCCAGUUGUGAGAAACUUUCCAAGGUUUUCAUUUAAAAACCUUGGAAAGCAAACCACGGAAACACUUUAAAAAUCCUUGGAAAUCGUUCCAAUACUCCGAGGUCACUCAUUUUCCAAGGUUUUCUAAAAAAAAUCCUCGGAAAUUAUUUAACGAGGUUUUUAUUCUGAAAUCCUUGGAAAUCGUUCCAAUACUCCGAGGUCAUACUUUUUACGAGGUUUUUUUUUAAUAAAAACUCGGAAAUUUUUUACAAGGUUUUUCACCCUCUCCCUAUUUUUCCAAGGUUUUUUUAAUAGCAAAGUUUUGCAUUUUCUUGUUCCAAUACUCCGAGGUUUUUUUCCAAGGAUUUUGAGCCAAAAACCUUGGAAAAUCUACACCC
Long non-coding RNA from Ruditapes philippinarum (Manila clam), 1345 nucleotides. RefSeq lists it as uncharacterized. NCBI's taxonomy places the organism in Eukaryota, Metazoa, Mollusca, Bivalvia, Venerida, Veneridae. The transcript is spliced from 3 exons. The record is from RefSeq and is a predicted model, not a curated record.